Long non-coding RNA from Sapajus apella (tufted capuchin), 425 nucleotides. RefSeq lists it as uncharacterized. The transcript has 2 exons. Lineage: Eukaryota; Metazoa; Chordata; Mammalia; Primates; Cebidae. The record is from RefSeq and is a predicted model, not a curated record.
AACAGGUACAUAGACUGCAUUGACUUAGACUGUUGUGGGUCACGUAUGUCUUCACAUUCUGCUGGAUGUGUGUCUUUACAUCUACUGGUAAUAGGAUCUUUGCAUUUUUUUUUUUUCCUGGCAGAAGUAAUGGAUCUUGCUAAAUUUUCUUUAUUUAAUAAGCUGCACUUAUAUGGCUGUAGGAUUAUGGGUCAAUCUUUGGUUAUGGAGUAUAGUUUUCUUUCAUGCAGUUUCCCCACAGGAGAUUUAAUGCACAACUAGCCUAUGUUUGCACUCCAACCAGCUAGCCAGGUUACUUUAAAAUGGUUUCAUUUCAUAUGUAGUAUUGUUCAAGAAGAUCAAGAGUUUCACAUAUGUGUAUUAGCUGUGUGUUAAGUUUUAUCUAUAUUAAAUUCACUUUAUAUAAAGUAAAUGUAUGGUAGCCA